This 495-nucleotide ribosomal RNA is filed under the name uncultured bacterium. RNAcentral's name for it is "partial 16S ribosomal RNA". It matches the Rfam family "Bacterial small subunit ribosomal RNA", at positions 28 to 507 of the family's 1533-position model. The record is from RNAcentral.
GAUGAACGCUGGCGGCGUGCCUAAUACAUGCAAGUCGAGCGAACAGACGAGGAGCUUGCUCCUCUGACGUUAGCGGCGGACGGGUGAGUAACACGUGGAUAACCUACCUAUAAGACUGGGAUAACUUCGGGAAACCGGAGCUAAUACCGGAUAAUAUAUUGAACCGCAUGGUUCAAUAGUGAAAGACGGUUUUGCUGUCACUUAUAGAUGGAUCCGCGCCGCAUUAGCUAGUUGGUAAGGUAACGGCUUACCAAGGCAACGAUGCGUAGCCGACCUGAGAGGGGAAUCGGCCACGGUGUGAGUGGGACACGGGCCACACUCCGACGGGGGGCAGCAGUAGAGAAUCUCCCGCAGUGGGCGAAGGCCAGACGGAACAACGCCGCGUGGGUUAAAAAGGUCUUCGCAUCGUAAAACUGUAUUAUUUGGGAAGGACAAAUUUUUAUGUACCGGUGCACAUUUACAGUGCCCGGAGAAUAAGCGCCGGCUCAAUCCGCG